This 364-nucleotide unclassified non-coding RNA is filed under the name uncultured bacterium. RNAcentral describes it as "contains 16S-23S intergenic spacer region". The record is from RNAcentral.
UCCGGGUUGGACCCGGCGGUCCCGCCAGACAUGGUAACUGGCAGCGAGGGUUGCGCUCGUUGCGGGACUUAACCCAACACCUCAUGGCACGAGCUGACGACAGCCAUGCAGCAUCUGUGCACGCUCCCUUGCGGGUCCUUCCGCUUUCGCGGUCGUACCACGUGCAUGUCCAGCCUGGGUAAGGUUCUUCGCGUUGCGUCGAAUUAAACCACAUGCUCCACCGCUUGUGCGGGCCCCCGUCAAUUCCUUUGAGUUUCAACCUUGCGGCCGUACUUCCCAGGCGGAAUACUUAUUGCGUUAGCUUCGGCACGGACGGAGUUGACACCGCCCACACCUAGCACCCAUCGUUUACGGCGUGGACUAC